AUGCUGAGCCCGUGUCCACACUACAUUGGGCAUCAAUAUGGUGACCUCCAGGGAGUGGGGGUCUUCCAGGUUGCCUAGGCAGGGUGAACCUGCCCAGGUCGGAAACAGAGGAGGUCAAAACUCCAGUGCUGAUCAGUAGUGGGAUCACGCCUGUGAAU
This 158-nucleotide small RNA is filed under the name Capra hircus (goat). Its description in RNAcentral is "Metazoan signal recognition particle RNA (ENSCHIG00010015506.1)". It matches the Rfam family "Metazoan signal recognition particle RNA", at positions 95 to 253 of the family's 299-position model. Rfam says of the family: The signal recognition particle (SRP) is a universally conserved ribonucleoprotein. It is involved in the co-translational targeting of proteins to membranes. The eukaryotic SRP consists of a 300-nucleotide 7S RNA and six proteins: SRPs 72, 68, 54, 19, 14, and 9. Lineage: Eukaryota; Metazoa; Chordata; Mammalia; Artiodactyla; Bovidae. The record is from RNAcentral.